AGAGUUUGAUCAUGGCUCAGAUUGAACGCUGGCGGCAUGCCUUACACAUGCAAGUCGAACGGCAGCACGGGAGCUUGCUCCUGGUGGCGAGUGGCGAACGGGUGAGUAAUAUAUCGGAACGUACCCUAGAGUGGGGGAUAACGCAGCGAAAGUUGCGCUAAUACCGCAUACGAUCUACGGAUGAAAGUGGGGGAUCGCAAGACCUCAUGCUCAUGGAGCGGCCGAUAUCUGAUUAGCUAGUUGGUAGGGUAAAAGCCUACCAAGGCUUCGAUCAGUAGCUGGUCUGAGAGGACGACCAGCCACACUGGAACUGAGACACGGUCCAGACUCCUACGGGAGGCAGCAGUGGGGAAUUUUGGACAAUGGGCGCAAGCCUGAUCCAGCAAUGCCGCGUGAGUGAAGAAGGCCUUCGGGUUGUAAAGCUCUUUUGUCAGGGAAGAAACGGUGGACUCUAAUACAGAUCACUAAUGACGGUACCUGAAGAAUAAGCACCGGCUAACUACGUGCCAGCAGCCGCGGUAAUACGUAGGGUGCAAGCGUUAAUCGGAAUUACUGGGCGUAAAGCGUGCGCAGGCGGUUUGGUAAGACAGAUGUGAAAUCCCCGGGCUCAACCUGGGAAUUGCAUUUGUGACUGCCCGGCUAGAGUGUGUCAGAGGGGGGUAGAAUUCCACGUGUAGCAGUGAAAUGCGUAGAGAUGUGGAGGAAUACCGAUGGCGAAGGCAGCCCCCUGGGAUAACACUGACGCUCAUGCACGAAAGCGUGGGGAGCAAACAGGAUUAGAUACCCUAGUAGUCC
This 795-nucleotide ribosomal RNA is filed under the name uncultured bacterium. Its description in RNAcentral is "bacterial SSU rRNA". It matches the Rfam family "Bacterial small subunit ribosomal RNA", at positions 8 to 796 of the family's 1533-position model. The record is from RNAcentral.